This is a long non-coding RNA of Pleuronectes platessa (European plaice), 626 nucleotides long. RefSeq lists it as uncharacterized. NCBI's taxonomy places the organism in Eukaryota, Metazoa, Chordata, Actinopteri, Pleuronectiformes, Pleuronectidae. The record is from RefSeq and is a predicted model, not a curated record. The transcript has 2 exons.
GUAAAAGUCCGCUAUUACUUUGUAUGAAUGUGUGAGAGAGCGAUAGCUGGCAUUUAUGGGGUUAACUGUGUCGGAGAGAGGAGAGAGACGUGCGUCAUGACGUCACGGUGCAGCGGCGUUGCAGGUACGCAAAACUCUGUGUGGGAAAGGAGAGAACGCACCGUUCGGUUGCACGAGGAACGCUCUGAUUGGAAAAUAUCUAGAAGUAGUUAAAAAACACCGCGAGCUGACUCAACAGUCCACGGUUGAUGUUGCCCGCUCGGCGGUCAGGUUUUUGUGAAGGAUUUGAAUUGGUGACGCUCGAUGUCGAGGGGACAUCAGCGACACCGGUAGUCGACGAUAGAUAGGAGACCAGCACUGGAUAGCCACCAGGCGGCUUCCAGACAUCCGCUGGAGAUAACCAGAUGGCGAGCCGGAACUAAGGAACAGAGUCAACUGAACUACCUCCCAAACCUGCGGUGUGGUAGGAAACACAAAGAUCAAAGGGCCCCAACGAUAUAAACUGAGCUCAUAUCAAGGAAGAGAAGACCAUAAAGACAUUUCUUUAUAUUUCUAUUUUAUUUUGCGCGCAUUUUAUUAUUUUCCAUGUUGAAAAUUGUUGUUAACAAUACAGUUUUGAAACCAUA